GGUCACGUGGACUCACUCAACCUGGGUGUGAUGCUUGCCUGUGCACCAGGCCCUAGUGGUCAUCACAACCUUUUUGAGUGAGCGAACGCGACC
Molecule: non-coding RNA, 93 nt
Organism: Habropoda laboriosa
Lineage: Eukaryota; Metazoa; Arthropoda; Insecta; Hymenoptera; Apidae
Source: Rfam